RNAcentral lists this unclassified non-coding RNA (404 nucleotides) under Hevea brasiliensis (rubber tree). Lineage: Eukaryota; Viridiplantae; Streptophyta; Magnoliopsida; Malpighiales; Euphorbiaceae. The record is from RNAcentral.
GAAACUGGAAAAUUCUUUUCUUAAGGAAAGUGAUAUAAUAGAAGUUUUUUCCUUCUCAAUGAUAUAAAUUAGUAUCGUUGCUGGAUCUACUCUUUGCAUGAGGCAGAAACAUUGUUCUCCUUCCUUCCACAGUUUCACAUCUUGUGGUACCUUUCUGUUACAUAGAUAAUUAGACUUAUUUGGAAAAACUUUGAGUUUGAAAAGACAACCUCGGUGUGCUCUCUGUAGAUAUUUAGACACAUAUUUCUGAAAGCGAAAUAAAAUGGUGUUAUAAAGCAGCUGUUACCCCUGGCCCUACUGUGAAGGCCUCAAGACUAGUUCUUGAAAAUGCACCUUGAGAUUUGAUGCAUGUGGUUUUCAUAUCGAAUUCUAAAGAAAUAAGUUGGAUAAAGAAGAUAUGUUGC